Molecule: non-coding RNA, 1962 nt
Organism: Peromyscus maniculatus bairdii (prairie deer mouse)
Lineage: Eukaryota; Metazoa; Chordata; Mammalia; Rodentia; Cricetidae
Source: RefSeq, a predicted model, not a curated record
GCAUGGUGUGUGUGGUGGCGGCAGUGGCAGUGGUGUGGUAGCUUAAAACUACCAGUAAGUCCAGCUUCAGGGCCUCUGACGCCCUCUUCUGGCCUUCAAGGGAUCUGUAUACACAUGAGCAUACUGAGCACACAUGUACCCCCCCACACACAAAUAAAUAUAAGCCUUAAAAAAAAAAGUGGGUUUAAAACAAUUUUAAAAAAUGGAACUGAAAAGCUAAUCUAAUUUGCACUCAGCUGUGACUGCCUGUCUGGCCCACCACAGAACAACAAGUACACCUUUAUAUAAAAUGGGCCAAAUCAUGAACUAAUUCCCCUCCCCAAAUACCCCAGUUAAGUCCUAGAUACCACACAAGUGUGUGGCUAUUGCCAGCAUGCCCCCGCCAUCCAAUAUGGCAAAUUAGGAUAGAUCAAGCAGAUCAAGGCCACUUCUUCAUGUGAAACUCCAUGUGACAAUCCCGUGGGGCCGCUGGGCACAGGCUACAGAGAUGCCUCACCACAGUGGACACAUACUGCAAAUGUAAGGCCACCACUCUGUGUCAUGCAGACACAGAUACCAUUGUGGCUUCAAAAACACCUUUAGCCAUAUGCCCAGACAGGAAAAAGAGUCCAGUCUGAGCAUGACGCCACGGUCACGGUCCAGGCAAUAGCACUGGCGGCAGGAUCGUCACUUGAAAUGGAUCCUCUGCUGUUUGUCCCAGGGCCUUCCUGUCAUGAGAGCUCACAGGAUGGGAGAAAGCUGGACAGGAUAAUGGGACAUCAAGACUUCUCUGUCACACUGAGGAUCCUUAACAUCUCAGUGACAUGGGUGACAUAAGGGUUGAGCAAGACUCAAGUCAUCUGGGAGAAAUGGCAUUCAGAAUGAACUGAGGGAAACCCAUCAACGUUCAAGACAAACACAGAAGCCAGAUACGGUGUCAUGUGGGGUCCUGUCUACAGAGGAAGCUCAAGUAGGGGGCUGAGCAUGUUCAAAGUCUGCGGCCAGCUCGGACUACAGAGUGAGGUCCCGUGUCAAAACACAGAAUCCAGUUCAGAUUUUUCAGGGAAUUCUCUCCUGACCCAACCCCACCAUCUGAACACAUUCCUCCCUGAGCAUGCUUUUCCUUUGCAGCCUUGGGGAGUUGAACAUGCACUGGGUUUCAGGAAGUAUUUUUUGAUGCUGCCUGUUCACUUGACUUUACGUGUCACAGGCCAGGGACCAUGCGUGCCUGCGUCCUCGGCUGUGUCCCCAGCCCUACACAAUGCUAAGAACACGGGCAGUGCUCAGUGAUUAUCUGAGGAAUUAAUGAUUCAUCAGAGCCCAGGGUGCUUAGCUUCCUGUGCUGGUGACUCCUGUGUCACACACAGCUCCCCUUACUCUAAGAACAAGUGUCCUAGGAUAAAACAAGAAAUCCGAAACAAUGCAAUUUCAUGAGACCUCCUUUUCUAAACUUGGCUCAUGAAUGGACAAACUGACACUUGACAUGAAAUAAUUUAUAAAUCAAUUUAUUUACAGAUUUCAUCUUAAAGUACAUUUUAGUUAACAAAUCUAUUUACACAGGUAUACAUGGGAAUCCGUCCGUCCCAGUUAUCUUACAGAGUACUUACAAGCCACACCCUUAGUCUUCUGUGCAGAGCCGCACGGGCGUGUCUGUCGGCUGACGAUGGCCUGACGACCAGGCUAUUUACACACACACAGUAAACGGGUUUCUUUUUCAUGUCUGCACAGUACAGUACACACGAGGGGCUGAGCCCCCUAGAGAAUGCUUUGCAAUGUGUAACCAAGAAGGCUUUGCAAAGUCCAGAAGGAAAAGCUUUUAAACAUAGGUUCAUUAAAAUGACAGUACCUCCUUUACACCAGUUUACAUUUUUCUUCACAUUUUUAUAAUACAAAGAUUUUAUUGAAUUGCUGCACAACCAGUUUAAGAUGAUUUGUAAACAUGUAAAUUCCUACAAUUUGCAUUAAACAUCAUUGUAGUUUCUA